AAGGAAUAUUGGUCAAUGGAGGCAACUCUGAACCAGCCAUGCCGCGUGCAGGAAGACUGCCCUAUGGGUUGUAAACUGCUUUUAUCCGGGAAUAAACCUCUGCUCGUGAGCAGAGCUGAAUGUACCGGAAGAAUAAGGAUCGGCUAACUCCGUGCCAGCAGCCGCGGUAAUACGGAGGAUCCAAGCGUUAUCCGGAUUUAUUGGGUUUAAAGGGUGCGUAGGCGGCCUGUUAAGUCAGGGGUGAAAGACGGUAGCUCAACUAUCGCAGUGCCCUUGAUACUGAUGGGCUUGAAUGGACUAGAGGUAGGCGGAAUGAGACAAGUAGCGGUGAAAUGCAUAGAUAUGUCUCAGAACACCGAUUGCGAAGGCAGCUUACUAUGGUCUUAUUGACGCUGAGGCACGAAAGCGUGGGGAUCAAA
RNAcentral lists this ribosomal RNA (419 nucleotides) under uncultured bacterium. RNAcentral's name for it is "bacterial SSU rRNA". It matches the Rfam family "Bacterial small subunit ribosomal RNA", at positions 356 to 772 of the family's 1533-position model. The record is from RNAcentral.